GAUGAAGAACGUAGCGAAAUGCGAUACUUGGUGUGAAUUGCAGAAUCCCGUGAACCAUCGAGUCUUUGAACGCAAGUUGCGCCUCAAGCCAUUAGGUUGAGGGCACGUCUGCCUGGGCGUCACAUAUCGUUGCCUGAUGCCAGUUUCCUCGUGUUGGGUGACUGUGCAGGGCGAAUGAUGGCUUCCCGUGAGCAUUGUUGCCUCAUGGUUGGUUGAAAAUUGAGUCCUUGGUAGGGAGCGCCGUGAUAGAUGGUGGUUGAGUGACGAACGAGACCCAAUCAUGUGAGACCCCUACCGAAUUUGGCCUUCAUGACCCACAUGCGUCUUUGGAACGCUCAUGACGAGACCUCAGGUCAGGCGGGGCUACCCGCUGAGUUUAAGCAUAUCAAUAAGCGGAGGA
Molecule: unclassified non-coding RNA, 400 nt
Filed under: soil metagenome
Description: partial contains 5.8S ribosomal RNA, internal transcribed spacer 2, and large subunit ribosomal RNA
Rfam family: 5.8S ribosomal RNA (bases 1-122)
Source: RNAcentral